GGUUAGCCUGAGUGCUAUAGUGUUUACAACGAAUUGAUCACAACCAGUUACAGAUUUCUUUGUCACAUCUUCACUGCUUCACUUGACUAGCCUUAA
RNAcentral lists this small RNA (96 nucleotides) under Papio anubis (olive baboon). Its description in RNAcentral is "Y RNA". It matches the Rfam family "Y RNA". Rfam says of the family: Y RNAs are components of the Ro ribonucleoprotein particle (Ro RNP), in association with Ro60 and La proteins. The Y RNAs and Ro60 and La proteins are well conserved, but the function of the Ro RNP is not known. In humans the RNA component can be one of four small RNAs -- hY1, hY3, hY4 and hY5. The record is from Rfam by way of RNAcentral. Lineage: Eukaryota; Metazoa; Chordata; Mammalia; Primates; Cercopithecidae.